RNAcentral lists this unclassified non-coding RNA (201 nucleotides) under Hevea brasiliensis (rubber tree). The record is from RNAcentral. Lineage: Eukaryota; Viridiplantae; Streptophyta; Magnoliopsida; Malpighiales; Euphorbiaceae.
UGGGGUUAUUAAGACUUUGGAUACAUUGAGGGAACACUUAUUUUGGCCUCAUAUGAAGAGAGAUGUUGAGAAAGUGUGUUCUAGGCGUAUCACAUGUAAAAAAGCAAAGUCUAAGGUCUUACCUUAAAGCUUAUAUACACCUUUGCCUAUACCUAGUGAACCAUGGAUUGGUUUGUCUAUAGACUUUAUUUUGGGAUUGCC